CGGGACGGGUGAGUAACGCGUGGAUAACCUGCCUCACACUGGGGGAUAACAGUUAGAAAUGGCUGCUAAUACCGCAUAAGCGCACAGUACCGCAUGGUACGGUGUGAAAAACUCCGGUGGUGUGAGAUGGAUCCGCGUCUGAUUAGUUAGUUGGCGGGUAACGGCCCACCAAGACAGCGAUCAGUAGCCGACCUGAGAGGGUGACCGGCCACAUUGGGACUGAGACACGGCCCAA
RNAcentral lists this ribosomal RNA (235 nucleotides) under uncultured bacterium. RNAcentral's name for it is "partial 16S ribosomal RNA". It matches the Rfam family "Bacterial small subunit ribosomal RNA", at positions 100 to 334 of the family's 1533-position model. The record is from RNAcentral.